AAACCGGCCCUGAGUUGACCCGGGGUUUACCUGUACUGCAGCAUCAUGGCAUUAUAUUGUAAUGCGUGACGUCACAGAGAACUCAGUUUGCAGUGUGUGUGGUCAUUCUACGGUGAGGCUCAGAACAGUAAGGUUGACAACACUCAGGGAGACACUGCAAGGGAGGGAGCCGGCUUACGCGGCUGAGACGCUGCGCGGCGGAGGACCCGACAAGCGACGCUCCCGCCUGCGGACACCUCGCCUGCCAGGACCCGGUGAUGACGCCGAAGACGCCACCGCACGCCG
Molecule: non-coding RNA, 285 nt
Organism: Misgurnus anguillicaudatus (oriental weatherfish)
Lineage: Eukaryota; Metazoa; Chordata; Actinopteri; Cypriniformes; Cobitidae
Source: RefSeq, a predicted model, not a curated record